GGGUGGGAUGAGUAUUCUAAGGCGCGUGGAAGAACUCUCUUUAAGGAACUCUGCAAAAUAGCACCGUAUCUUCGGUAUAAGGUGUGGUUAGCUUUGUAUUAGGAUUUACUCCGAAAGCAAGGAAACUUACAACAAAGAGUCCCUCCCGACUGUUUACCAAAAACACAGCACUCUGCUAACUCGUAAGAGGAUGUAUAGGGUGUGACGCCUGCCCGGUGCUCGAAGGUUAAUUGAUGGGGUUAGCAUUAGCGAAGCUCUUGAUCGAAGCCCGAGUAAACGGCGGCCGUAACUAUAACGGUCCUAAGGUAGCGAAAUUCCUUGUCGGUUAAAUACCGACCUGCAUGAAUGGCGUAACGAGAUGGGAGCUGUCUCAAAGAGGGAUCCAGUGAAAUUGUAGUGGAGGUGAAAAUUCCUCCUACCCGCGGCAAGACGGAAAGACCCCGUGGACCUUUACUACAGCUUGACACUGCUACUUGGAUAAGAAUGUGCAGGAUAGGUGGGAGGCUUUGAGUAUAUGACGCCAGUUGUAUAUGAGCCAUUGUUGAGAUACCACUCUUUCUUAUUUGGGUAGCUAACCAGCUUGAGUUAUCCUCAUGUGGGACAAUGUCUGGUGGGUAGUUUGACUGGGGCGGUCGCCUCCCAAAUAAUAACGGAGGCUUACAAAGGUUGGCUCAGAACGGUUGGAAAUCGUUCGUAGAGUAUAAAGGUAUAAGCCAGCUUCACUGCAAGACAUCCAAGUCAAGCAGAGACGAAAGUCGGUCUUAGUGAUCCGGCGGUUCUGUGUUGAAGGGCCAUCGCUCAAAGGAUAAAAGGUACCCCGGGGAUAACAGGCUGAUCUCCCCCAAGAGCUCACAUCGGCGGGGAGGUUUGGCACCUCGAUGUCGGCUCAUCGCAUCCUGGGGCUGGGGCAGGUCCCAAGGGUAUGGCUGUUCGCCAUUUAAAGCGGUACGCGAGCUGGGUUCAGAACGUCGUGAGACAGUUCGGU
This 985-nucleotide ribosomal RNA is filed under the name Campylobacter jejuni. RNAcentral describes it as "bacterial LSU rRNA". It matches the Rfam family "Bacterial large subunit ribosomal RNA", at positions 1665 to 2635 of the family's 2925-position model. Lineage: Bacteria; Pseudomonadati; Campylobacterota; Epsilonproteobacteria; Campylobacterales; Campylobacteraceae. The record is from RNAcentral.